CUUAAGCAUGCCAUUCAUAGCAAAUACAAGAUUGCUAUUCAGCAUCAGGUGCUGGUGGUCAGUGGAGGAGAAUGCAUGGCUGCAGACAAGAGUGUGUGCACCUACAGUGCUGGGACGGACACAUCCAAUUUUUCUUUUUAACAAAGAAAUAAUCUUAUGUGAUUGUCACCUGCCAUUCUUAAAAAAACCUUUUCAACAGAAAAUGACAUGGAAAUAAAAGUUGAAGAGUCUCUUAUGAUGCCUGCAGUUUUUCACAGUGUUGCUUCAAGAACACAGCUUGCAGUGGAAAUGUAUGAAGUUGCCAAGAAACUUUGCUCUUUCUGUGAAGGUCUGGUCCAUGAUGAACAUGUUCAACACCAAGGCUGGGCUGCAAUCAUGGCAAAUCUAGAGGACUGUUCAAAUUCAUACCAAAAACUACUUUGCAAGUUUGAAAGUAUUUAUUCAAAUUAUCUGCAAUCCAUAGAAGACAUGGAGUUAAAACUUAGUAUGUUAGGAACUGCGGUUUCCAUAAUGGCCAAGGUCCCAUUUUUGGAGUACCUGACCAGACAUAGUUACAGGGAAUGUUUGGGAAGACUGGAUUCUUCACCUGAACAUGAAGGCCCAGAGCAGGCUGAGAUGAAAACUUCCACUGAUCCGGUGCUCUCUCCUGAUCUGCCCAGAACAGCAACCAAUCCUCAUUAACCUUACUUCACAAGUCAAUGGAACAUGCAGCCCCAGAUACCACAGAUGCUGAGAGUAGAAAAGAAAUGAAAGA
This is a long non-coding RNA of Manis pentadactyla (Chinese pangolin), 754 nucleotides long. RefSeq lists it as uncharacterized. The record is from RefSeq and is a predicted model, not a curated record. Lineage: Eukaryota; Metazoa; Chordata; Mammalia; Pholidota; Manidae. The transcript is spliced from 4 exons.